Long non-coding RNA from Topomyia yanbarensis, 1246 nucleotides. RefSeq lists it as uncharacterized. The record is from RefSeq and is a predicted model, not a curated record. The transcript is spliced from 3 exons. NCBI's taxonomy places the organism in Eukaryota, Metazoa, Arthropoda, Insecta, Diptera, Culicidae.
UUGUUAUUUUUAUGCGCAUUUUUUCACCAUGGCGUUCCGUUUGUCCGCUUCGUGGAAUAUUUUCCGGUUUUAAAACUUUAGCGACAUGUACGAUCGACGCCAGUUGAUUGCGGCCUUAAAGUUCAAUUCCUUACGGGAUCGGGGGCACUGUGCACUGAUCCGGGUAGUUUUUGGCCUGCAUUGUCGACAUGAGAUAAGAAGCAGCUGAUGCCACGAUUUCUGAAGUACGUUACUUGCACUGUAUCGGUCGAUUGUACACUUCCAGAAACGAAUGGGACAUUAAAUCACAACGAUGCGGAAGUAUUAACGGAGAUGGUUGGUAAAGUGCGCAGAGCGACACUAGAUGGGAAAUUUUGUGAUUUCCCGACAUAUACCCAGAAUCAGCAACAUAUGUGUUCUGGAUGUUCCGUUUGUAAAUAAAUAUCCAAAGAACACAUGACAUACCUUGUCAAAAUGUAAACAAAACAGCUCUUGGCGGUAGUGGAGCUUAUUCAACGGAACAUGACAACUAACUGACAAGAUUAUGCUCUUGCUCCUACCAAUGGUGAGUGUGUCGUUCUUGAGCAUAGAUUAAAAAGGCUGCGUGUUCCCGUAUGCGAUGCGCUUGUAGGAAACGAUUUAAACUUUGAGAAAAGAUACUAUGUAAGCAUCUACAGACUUCAAUUUAACUAUGUUAUAAAAAUAUGCAAAUGAAAAAAUGUAUGAAUCACAAUUUUGCUGGAAAUUCAAUUUAACAGUAAAUCCGCUGUAAAAAAAACAAGUAAAAUUGUUGUGAAAACAAUGUAAAUCAACGUUUUGACUUCCAAAAUCUACAACAGAAUAACAUUCUAAAUCGUUGUAAGUGGUUUCAAAAUGUAUGGAAAAAAGCCAAUUUUUUCAUUGUUACAUCGCUUAACGACCGCCCUUUUUCGAUGUAAAAAUUGUAUUUAUAAUGAAAUUGAUUGUAGAAACAACAAAUUUGAUUGUAUAUUCAUUACAUUUUUCAACAUAUCUAAUCUUUUUACAUCGUUUUUCAUUGUAAUGUAACAAUGAAAAUCACUGUAAUUCCGUUAUACAUUUUUAUUCGGGAUGCCCCAAAUAGCUCUUAUGUCAAAACUGAAAGUCAAAAGCUGAUUGACGUUUGAAAGUCAUCGAUUUCAAGGGGCUUAAUGGUUGAUUUCUGUGGCGAUCUAGAAAAAAAAUCAUACUUGGAAACUCAAUCGAACUUAAUUUUUUUUAAUUCAUAUUCUGGAAUGUUUUUGGUGAA